This 247-nucleotide ribosomal RNA is filed under the name uncultured Gardnerella sp. RNAcentral describes it as "partial 16S ribosomal RNA". It matches the Rfam family "Bacterial small subunit ribosomal RNA", at positions 109 to 355 of the family's 1533-position model. Lineage: Bacteria; Bacillati; Actinomycetota; Actinomycetes; Bifidobacteriales; Bifidobacteriaceae. The record is from RNAcentral.
AGUAAUGCGUGACCAACCUGCCCCAUGCUCCAGAAUAGCUCUUGGAAACGGGUGGUAAUGCUGGAUGCUCCAACUUGACGCAUGUCUUGUUGGGAAAGUGUUUAGUGGCAUGGGAUGGGGUCGCGUCCUAUCAGCUUGUAGGCGGGGGUAAUGGCCCACCUAGGCUUCGACGGGUAGCCGGCCUGAGAGGGCGGACGGCCACAUUGGGACUGAGAUACGGCCCAGACUCCUACGGGAGGCAGCAGCA